This 95-nucleotide microRNA precursor is filed under the name Rhinopithecus roxellana (golden snub-nosed monkey). Its description in RNAcentral is "miRNA (ENSRROG00000002865.1)". The stretch from base 5 to 86 matches the Rfam family "mir-3660 microRNA precursor family". RNAcentral also lists the same sequence under 1 other name. The record is from RNAcentral. Lineage: Eukaryota; Metazoa; Chordata; Mammalia; Primates; Cercopithecidae.
AAGAACUGGACAAAAUUAAAAUGCUCUUCUGUCAUUGUAAUAGUUCAUAUGGGCACUGACAGGAGAGCAUUUUAACUUUGUCAAGUGUGUCUGCU